GUUGAACAAAACAGGCCCUCAACGUCAGUAUCAUUAAGGUCUCUUUGUUUCAGCUUUCAUGGUGAACGCGAACCUCCAAUGGGCAGCCUAAUCAAUAAGCUAGCCAAAAAAACGACGCCAUCUCUGAGAAUCAUAGCAACAGCCAUCAAAACUCCGCUGCUAUUCAAUCCCGUCCUUCACUCGGCCAAACCAGAUUUCAUAAACAACUCAAUUCCUCCCUGCGACUCCCCUGCCAUAGAGAACAACCCAAUACUUCAAAGCCCUACUAAACCCCUGCAGUUUUAUUACCCCAAUUUCCCAUUUGGGUAUUGCUUAAACCCCUUUUCCAUGACUGGGUCUGAUCAAUUGAAAGCUAUUGGGGCUGAUUCUACUGGAAACGAUGCUGAUGAUGCGAGGAUCAUGUGGGCUGAUAGUGUGAAGAAGAAGAGGAAGAAGAAGAUGAAUAAACACAAGUACAAGAAGCUCAGGAAGCGUCUCCGACGAAAGGCAUAAUAGGCAUCUUGGUAAAAAUUCCAUGUCUUGCUGGUUCAUUGCCCUUGUUCCUUUCUAUAGUUUUUGAAUCAGAAUAUGAAUAUUCGCUUGGAGUACUAAUUUUUUUAGUAACUUUUGAGAUAGAGCAUCAUACAUUCAGAUUAUCAAACGAAUCAAAAUGGAAUUAUUUCUUGCUGAUUGUGGUGGAAAUUACUGGAAUUUUGUUCUUUUAGUUACCAAAUUGUACGUCACCUGACCAGAAGGUAGCUCUUUUCCCUUUUCAUUCCAUCUCUAAAUGCUUACAACUAGAUGCACACUUAGCCAAUUUUCACUGUGAUACCACAUGUGUAGUUUCCCACAAUUAACAGUGGCAAAGCUAUAAAUUUGAUGUAGGGUGGAAAAAGCUCUCGCACUUUCUUAAGCUUAGCGUAGGAAGAAAGUUUCUAUAAGACUAAAGUAAAUAGACUAAAAUAUGUCAUUCGUGAUGGAGAGUUAUUAUUGCAGUUGGAUGGAAUUAAGAAGCGUAGGAAUUUUCCAUUUUAUCAUUUAGAUUUUUUUUCUUAACAGAAUUAUAUUGCUUAGAUUCACCUCUCAUUAAACUGGGGGAAAAAAAGGUUCUAUAAAGAAAAAAGGGAAAAAAAUUCAACACAAAAUAUUUCUGACAAGAUGCUAGAGAAUAUUACAAGGGAUUAACACAUCUGUUUUGAUGUGGAGUUAGCUCUAUAUGACCAGAUGGAAAAUGGCUAGUUGAGAUGGGAGAGAUUGACUUUUGCAACAAAUAUCAAUCACUCUGUCUGCUACUUUGCCUUGUUGAAUGUGUCGGGAGGAUGAGGGUAAGAACAAGGAAAAUAUAGCUUAGAAUCAAAUGUUCCUAGAUUGAGAGGAUCUUGAUAAGUGUUUUCAAGGCGAAAGGCGAUAGGGUACCCUAUAGCCCUAGGUGAGAGGCGAGGCAAGGACCUUUUUGAAGUAAGGCGCCACAACCUAAUAAGUAACAAGACAAUACAAGUAGAUAAAAAAGAGCAUGAUUUUUAAUUGUAGCUAAAUUUCACAACCUACAUAUGCUCACCAAAUUAACAAAUUGACAACAAAAUAAUAAUACCCAUAUAAAUUAACAACACCCAUACAGCAGAAUUCAAGAAGAGAGAAGGAGGAGGAGAGAAAAAGAAGAACAAAAAAAGUAAAAAGAAAAAAGAAAGUGUGAAUGGUACUACUGUGUUUUAGAGACGACCAGAAUAGAGGAGAAGAGGAAAAGAAAAAGAGGAAAGA
RNAcentral lists this unclassified non-coding RNA (1737 nucleotides) under Hevea brasiliensis (rubber tree). The record is from RNAcentral. Lineage: Eukaryota; Viridiplantae; Streptophyta; Magnoliopsida; Malpighiales; Euphorbiaceae.